This 354-nucleotide transfer-messenger RNA is filed under the name Peptostreptococcaceae bacterium. It matches the Rfam family "transfer-messenger RNA". From Rfam's summary of the family: Bacterial tmRNA, also known as 10Sa RNA or SsrA, is named for its dual tRNA and mRNA-like properties. Its role is to liberate the mRNA from a stalled ribosome. RNAcentral also lists the same sequence under 1 other name. Lineage: Bacteria; Bacillati; Bacillota; Clostridia; Peptostreptococcales; Peptostreptococcaceae. The record is from RNAcentral.
GGGGGCGUACAGGUUUCGACGGGGGUAUGGAGCAUUGAACAGCGAGCUGUGGUUUGUUUGGUGCCACAUUAAAAAACCGGACAAAAAUGUAAACGCAGAUAAUAAUUACGCUUUAGCCGCCUAGUUGUGGCUCAUCCUGCUGAAGCCUACCCGCCGCUUCAGUUAUAGGGUGUCGAUAUGCGGGGAUCCGACUUGAGGGUUGUCCCGACCUCUUGCUGAACUAAUUGGGACUGGCCGAUGAAACAGCUUGUCAUUGAGCGGUUUUGGACGCGAGAAAUAAAUCAAUGACUGCGCUCGGAGAAUUUCAAUGUUAAGUGCUUUCGGACGCGGGUUCGAUUCCCGCCGCCUCCACCA